UCAUGGCUCAGGAUGAACCUUUGGCGGCGUGCCUAAUACAUGCAAGUCGAACGGAGAUAUUGUAGCAAUACGGUAUCUUAGUGGCGAACGGGUGAGUAACGCGUUGGUGACCUGCCCCGAAGAGGGGGAUAACAGUCCGAAAGGAUUGCUAAUACCCCAUGCGGUCAUGGAGUUCAGAAGUCCAUGUCCAAAGGUGAAAAUCGCUUCGGGAGGGGCCUGCGUCCCAUCAGCUAGUUGGUAAGGUAACGGCUUACCAAGGCGACGACGGAUAGGGGACCUGAGAGGGUGGCCCCCCACAAUGGAACUGAAACACGGUCCAUACACCUACGGGUGGCAGCAGUAGGGAAUAUUAGUUAAUGUGCGAAAGCGCGAACUAGCAACGCCGCGUGUGCGAUGAAGGCCUUCGGGUCGUAAAGCACUUUUCGAGAAGAUGAGAAAGGACAGUACUCUCGGAAUAAGUCUCGGCUAACUACGUGCCAGCAGCCGCGGUAAAACGUAGGAGGCGAGCGUUAUCCGGAUUUACUGGGCGUAAAGCGCGUGCAGGCGGUUUGACAAGUUGGAUGUGAAAGCUCCUGGCUCAACUGGGAGAGGUCGUUCAAAACUGUCAGACUUGAGGGCGGUAGAGGGAGGUGGAAUUCCGUGUGUAGUGGUGAAAUGCGUAGAUAUACGGAGGAACACCAGUGGCGAAAGCGGCCUCCUGGACUGAUCCUGACGCUCAGACGCGAAAGCUAGGGGAGCAAACGGGAUUAGAGACCUCGGUAGUCCUAGCUGUAAACGAUGUGAACUUGGCGUCGGUGGGUUUAAAUCCAUCGGUGCCGUAGCUAACGCGAUAAGUUCACCGCCUGGGGACUACGGCCGCAAGGUUAAAACUCAAAGGAAUUG
Molecule: ribosomal RNA, 882 nt
Filed under: uncultured bacterium
Lineage: Bacteria
Description: bacterial SSU rRNA
Rfam family: Bacterial small subunit ribosomal RNA
Source: RNAcentral